RNAcentral lists this small RNA (2792 nucleotides) under Pan troglodytes (chimpanzee). RNAcentral describes it as "sense intronic". The record is from RNAcentral. Lineage: Eukaryota; Metazoa; Chordata; Mammalia; Primates; Hominidae.
UGUUUAGUGCUAAGGUUGAUACUAAGCAGAAUUAAAGAUGUGAAAUUUAAUAAAUACCCUGUUUUAAGAGCUUUGCUAAAGAUGUGUAUGGAAUGUUCUGAAUGAAACAGACUUAGUAAGACAUGAGUGUUGAAAAGUUUUCUCAGUUAAUUUAGCAGCACUCAGGACUGCUUUGUCCAUGCAGAUAUGGCUGACUUACUGGGGACUUUUGUUUCUAACAUUAGCCAAGCUUACUGUCAACUCUGAAGAGAUGUUGGAGUUGUCCUAGAACACUUAAACUUGGAAGUUAAAUUGUCUUUCAAUGUGUUUGGCAGAGUUAUAAAAGUAGACAUGAGCCAUAUUGAUAGCGGCACGGCAUAUCAAGAGCUUCAGAAUACUUAUGACACUUCUUUGACAUUCUGUGAAAGGCUAUAGAUAAGUACCUCCAAACAUCAUGCCUCCAGCCUCACUCUUGCUUAAGGAAAUACUCUGAAAGUAGAUUUUCUUUCUUUUUUGAGACAGUCUCUCUGUCUCCCAGGCUGGAGUGCAGUGGCAUGAUCUUGGUUCACUGCAGCCUCCACCUCCUGGGUUCAACCGAUUCUCCUUCCUCAGCCUCCCGAGUAGCUGGGAUUACAGGUGCCCACCCACCACGCCUGGCUAAUUUUUGUUCUUUUAGUAGAGACGGGGAUUUGGUUGCGCCAUGUUGGCCAGGCUGGUCUCAAACUCCUGACCGCAAGCGAUCCGCCCACCUCGGCCUCCCAAAGUGCUGGGAUUACGGGCAUGAGUUACUGCGCCCAGCCAAAUAUCUGUUCUUUUAGCUCUUUGAUAGUUCCUUUGUAGUGACAAAUUAUUUUCUAAAAGCUUAUAAAUUGGUGUUUCUGUGGAAGAUGUUAUUUCUCAUCGAAUGCGUAUUGAUAGUGUUUUAAGGUUAGACCACAAAGUAUUUGUCUUCCAUGUGCCUGAUAUUUACAUGGUACUCUAAGCUGCACUGUUGAGUACUGUAGCAUCUAGCUUAUAUGGCUAUUUAAAUUUAUAUUAGGCUAAAAAUUCACCAGUGCAGCCAUAUUUCAAGUUUUCAGUGGCUGUGAGUGGCCAAUGGCUCUAUUGUAUUGGACAGUACAGAUAUAGGACAUAUGCAGAAAUUAUCAUUGGACAACCCUGCUGUAGAAUGUCACCAGUGUUUCUGGAAUCACUGUUUUCGUGCUUGAAGUAUUUUGUGCUCCACUUUGAAAUGCUAGGAAAUCGUAUCUUCCCUUCACAUUGUAAACUCUUGGUGAUUAUUGUGGUCUUUGGAGGUGAAGCCCUUGGGCAGAAUUGGAAUGGGAGUGGAAAGUAAACUGCUUUGCUGUGGACUAGAAGUAGAAUUGGGAUGAGGUGUUCCCGUUCUCAUGAGUCCCUUCCCUGUCUGCACUGUUCCCUUUCCUUGUGAACCUUUAUUUCCCAAACCCCUUCUUCACCUUUUCCACCUCCAGCCUGUGCAGAGGCAGAUAGAUACUGGGGACCUGUUGUACUUUGUUCUGCAUCUUCACUAGUGGAAAUAAGAGUUCUUCUCUUAGGCUCACUGCUCGGGGGUGGCCUGUAAGAUGUUCUUCAGUCUAGUGCUUUCUCUUUUAAUUUGGGUGCCUUGUGUCAUUGGAUGUGUAAUGUGGUCUCGAGCUAAAUGUGCAGACAGCAGCAUCUGAGACAUAUCCAGAGAGCAGAGGCAGCAUUUCUUUGAAUUCAGCAAAACCAUAAUUAUUGUGUUUUCUUUUCAGAACUGUGUUUUACGCAAAUAAUCUUCGGCAAAGUCUUACUCUUAUUGUAGAUACUCAUUUUAAUUCUGUGUGUUAACUUGCACCACAAUUUUGCAUAAUUUACUAUCCUCCUCCAGAAAGCUCUACAGUGUUCCAUUGGUCAACGUUUUUGCCAGUAAUGUCAGAAAUAAUGGGUUGGGUGAUCUUAGUUUCUAUAUUUAAACAAAAUUUUGUCAAUUUUCAGUUAGUUGCUUGUUUUCCCUGACCACUGGGCUAUCUCGUAUUUCUGGUCUUCAGUGAUGUUGUUCCUUUUGUGUGGUGUAACCUUUAGCAUUUACGUGCCUUGGCCACCUCUCGUUGCUUAGAACAGACCCAAUCUCCAGAAGGUUUUCUGGGUGUUCUUCUUUUCCCUCGGGUUCCCCUUUGCUGCCCCGAGCACCAUUGUAUACCUCUUGCCACAGUGUGCUUUUGUUUCUCCAUUUCACAGUAGGUUCCUCUAUCAGCAUCUUGCACAGUUGCCUAGCAACAUAGUUUAAUGUGUUGGAGGCAAGAAGGGAGGAAAUUCACACCAUGUUCAUCCUACUCAGUGUGAACUGAGUCUAUAGUUGAUAUCCUCUUUGUGUCACUCAAUGUUGUCCUGCCUGAGUUCAGGCUUGGUUCUUACGUUGCGGCAGCUCUUUUGCCUUUAUUUAGGCAACAGACCAGAAAUAGAAACCCUUGAAUUUUUUUUUUUUAUUACUUUAUUUUCCUUGCCAGCACCUUGGUUAGGUUUCUUAACUACUUUUUUCUUGAGUCUUUGUAAAGUAUAAUUACACUUUACUGUGCUUACGAUCUAAAGAAUACUUAAUCAGUGUUAUUUUUUAUUUUUAUGUUUUAUUUUUGUAUUGAUUAGGUCUUGCCAUGUUGCCCAGACUGGUCUCGGGCUCCUGGACUCAAGCAGUCCUCCCACCUUGGCCUCCCAAAGUGCUGGGAUUACAGGCAUGGGCCACCACACUUGGCCUCAUUUUAUUUCUUAAAGUCACUGCCCAAUAAACAUUCCAAGUUUCCACUAGUUUUUGUUUUUGGACAUUUGUUCUAUCC